GAUGGAGGGUAUACAGUAGGUAUGAUGGAGGGUAUACAGUAGGUAUGAUGGAGGGUAUACAGUAGGUAUGAUGGAGGGUAUACAGUAGGUAUGAUGGAGGGUAUACAGGAGGUAUGAUGGAGGGUAUACAGUAGGUAUGAUGGAGGGAAUACAGUAGGGAUGAUGGAGGGUAUACAGCAGGUAUAAUGGAGGGUAUGCAGUAGAAAUGAUGGAGGGUAUACAUCAGGUAUGAUGGAGGGUAUACAGUAGGUAUUAUGAAGGGUAUACAGUUGGGAUGAUGGAGGGUAUACAUCAGGUAUGAUGGAGGGUAUACACUAGGUAGACGGAGGGUAUACAGUAGAUAUGAUGGAGGGUAUACAGUAGGUAUGAUCGAGGGUAUACAGUAGGUAUGAUAUAGGGUAUACAGUAGGUUUGAUGGAUGGUAUACAGUAGGUAUGAUGGAGGGUACAUAAGGUAUGAUGGAGGGUAUACAGAAGGUAUGAUGGAGGGUAUACAGUAGGUAAAAUGGAGGGUAUACAGUAGGUAUGACGGAGGGUAUACAGUAGUUAUGAUAUCGGGUAUACAGUUGGUUUGAUGGAGGGUAUACAGUAGGUAUGAUGGAGGGUAAACAGUAGGUAUGAUGGAGGGUAUACAGUAGGUAUGAUGGAGGGUAUACAUCAGGUAUGAUGGAGGGUAUACAGUAGGUAUGAUGGAGGGUAUACAGUAGGUAUGAUGGAGGGUAUACAGUAGGUAUGAUGGAGGGUAUACAGCAGUGGGUCAGCUCUACUAGCUGGCGAUCCAGCCC
Long non-coding RNA from Oncorhynchus tshawytscha (Chinook salmon), 784 nucleotides. Lineage: Eukaryota; Metazoa; Chordata; Actinopteri; Salmoniformes; Salmonidae. The record is from Ensembl.